This 423-nucleotide ribosomal RNA is filed under the name uncultured bacterium. RNAcentral's name for it is "partial 16S ribosomal RNA". It matches the Rfam family "Bacterial small subunit ribosomal RNA", at positions 360 to 776 of the family's 1533-position model. The record is from RNAcentral.
AAUAUUGGACAAUGGGGGAACCCUGAAUCAACCAUGGCGGGCGUGUUAAGAAGGUUCUCGGUUUGNUAAACACCUUAAGUUGGGGGNGAAGGCCGGUAGUUUAUAACUUGGUGGUUUGACGUUACCGGCAGAAUAAGCCACCGUCAACUUUGUUGCCAGAACCGAGGUAAUACGAAGGGGGGAAGCGUUAAUCGGAAUUACUGGGCGUAAAGCGCGCGUAGGUGGUUUGUUAAGUUGGAAGUGAAAGCCCCGGGCUCAACCUGGGAACUGCUUUCAAAACUGGCAAGCUAGAGUAUGGCAGAGGGUGGUGGAAUUUCCUGUGUAGCGGUGAAAUGCGUAGAUAUAGGAAGGAACACCAGUGGCGAAGGCGACCACCUGGGCUAAUACUGACACUGAGGUGCGAAAGCGUGGGGAGCAAACAGG